GCCCCGGUAAACGGCGGCCGUAACUAUAACGGUCCUAAGGUAGCGAAAUUCCUUGUCGGGUAAGUUCCGACCUGCACGAAUGGCGUAAUGAUGGCCAGGCUGUCUCCACCCGAGACUCAGUGAAAUUGAACUCGCUGUGAAGAUGCAGUGUACCCGCGGCAAGACGGAAAGACCCCGUGAACCUUUACUAUAGCUUGACACUGAACAUUGAGCCUUGAUGUGUAGGAUAGGUGGGAGGCUUUGAAGUGUGGACGCCAGUCUGCAUGGAGCCGACCUUGAAAUACCACCCUUUAAUGUUUGAUGUUCUAACGUUGGCCCGUAAUCCGGGUUGCGGACAGUGUCUGGUGGGUAGUUUGACUGGGGCGGUCUCCUCCUAAAGAGUAACGGAGGAGCACGAAGGUUGGCUAAUCCUGGUCGGACAUCAGGAGGUUAGUGCAAUGGCAUAAGCCAGCUUGACUGCGAGCGUGACGGCGCGAGCAGGUGCGAAAGCAGGUCAUAGUGAUCCGGUGGUUCUGAAUGGAAGGGCCAUCGCUCAACGGAUAAAAGGUACUCCGGGGAUAACAGGCUGAUACCGCCCAAGAGUUCAUAUCGACGGCGGUGUUUGGCACCUCGAUGUCGGCUCAUCACAUCCUGGGGCUGAAGUAGGUCCCAAGGGUAUGGCUGUUCGCCAUUUAAAGUGGUACGCGAGCUGGGUUUAGAACGUCGUGAGACAGUUCGGUCCCUAUCUGCCGUGG
This 734-nucleotide ribosomal RNA is filed under the name Escherichia coli. RNAcentral describes it as "partial 23S ribosomal RNA". It matches the Rfam family "Bacterial large subunit ribosomal RNA", at positions 1917 to 2650 of the family's 2925-position model. Lineage: Bacteria; Pseudomonadati; Pseudomonadota; Gammaproteobacteria; Enterobacterales; Enterobacteriaceae. The record is from RNAcentral.